UACGGGGGGAGCAAGCGUUGUUCGGAUUUACUGGGCGUAAAGGGCGCGUAGGCGGCCAGCACAAGUCAGUUGUGAAAUCUCCGGGCUUAACUCGGAAAGGUCAACUGAUACUGUGCGGCUAGAGUGCAGAAGGGGCAACUGGAAUUCUCGGUGUAGCGGUGAAAUGCGUAGAUAUCAAGAGGAACACCUGCGGCGAAGGCGGGUUGCUGGGCUGACACUGACGCUGAUGCGCGAAAGCCAGGGGAGCGAACGGG
RNAcentral lists this ribosomal RNA (254 nucleotides) under uncultured bacterium. Its description in RNAcentral is "partial 16S ribosomal RNA". It matches the Rfam family "Bacterial small subunit ribosomal RNA", at positions 524 to 776 of the family's 1533-position model. The record is from RNAcentral.